UCUUGAGAUUAUAAUUUGCACAGUCAACAAAAAUCACGUGUUUUUAUAACAAUCAUUCCAAUGACGCAUGCGCAUAACAUUUCUAAAUAAUUAAUUGAUCAACUGACGUAUAGCCCAUAAAACUUUGCCAAAACCCUUCGUUAUAUUGAUUUAAUGAUUUUAACUACUUUCGUAAACUAACCAAACAAUCUCAGAUUAUAUGCACUACAUACACCUUGGUGGAAGAACGACUGUGAUGUUGUUGAAAGUCUUUCAACCUAAGAGGCCACUUGAAGGGUAAACAAGAAGCGUGUUCUUCACCAGAAGCAAGUAUGAGGAAAGUAGAAACGCCCACAGAAGCAAGCAUGAAGAAAUUAGAAACGCCCACAGAAGCAAGUAUGAAGAAAAUAGAAACGCCCACCUAAGCAAGCAUGAAGAAAAUAGAAACGCCUACAGAAGCAAGCAUGAAGAAAAUAAAAACGCCCACAAAGUCUACAUAUAGAAAGGAACUCAUGUACACAUCAGGACCACCAAGGUCGACCAAAAAAAGUUCUAUUUCUUUAGUUCUAAAGACAAAUUAAGAACAGUUUUUAACAAUAAGAGUAAAAAAAGAUAAAUAGGUUGUGUGAUUAAUGCUAAGAACGAUGUCUUUAGAACUAGAGAAGAGGAUGGGGACUUCAAGAUCGAUCAAAAAAUAUAAAACCGCAAGCAAUUGAACCAUUAUAGCUGCAGUUUAUUAAUUGUGGAUAUUUAGAAAAGCAGUCACAGACAUUGGUAAAGUUGGCUUUGGACAAUUGCGAGGGUAUUUAAGCUUGGUUUCCAUUAUGGGUUAACGUGGGUUAACGCAAGUUAAUUUCAAUGAGAUAAUUUUCUAACCCACGCUAAUUUAAGUGGAAACAUGUAGAAAAAAAACAGACAACAAAAAUUACCUCACAUUAAACUAUGGGUUAAGGUGAUAUUGGAAUCACCAAAGUUUCAUUCUAAGAUUGCCCCAUGAAUUCGAAAAAGGUCAACAAAUACUGACAAUUUGCAUACAAGGUAUAAAGAGGGAAAUGCGCUUAACAAUUGUAUUUUUUAAAAGAGGGAUAAUAAAAGUUAAUAAUAAGUUUAAAAAUAGUAUAGACUUUAUUAUUUUAUUUAAUUAACGAUAAAACGACGAAAAAGGAUGUCAUUCCUGAAAGAAGUAAAAAAAAAAUUUGUGACUUACGUACCCCGAAAACCAAGCUCUUUGGAGCCAUGAAGUAUGUCACUGGGGAUGUUACUAUGGAACAAAACACAUGGUCUGCUUUGAGGAACACCACUAGAGUAUCAUAUAUGUUUCUGCACACCUGUGCUUUUUAACAACAUGGUAGAAAAUCGAUUCCGCAUAAUUUUUGACAAGAGGGAGUUGGACAAAAACAAAAAGACAUUAAAUUUUGUUGGGAAAAAACUCUUCCAUCCAUAUAAGACAUUAAUGUGGUUCAAGAAUUCAAGAGACCUGAGUUGAACUAACGAAAGAAAGCGAAAAAGAAGACCUGGAAACGAGAUUAUUCUUAAUUAUGUUUUCUUAUUAAACAAAAACUAAUUUCGCGAUACCAAGACAUAAUUACUUCCAGCAAUAGCUGCGUUGUAAUCACACUCACUAAAUAAAUAAGAAACACGUGCGUAGUUUGGAUGAGUAAACAGCGUUAUCAUGUUUCGAUCAUUUGCGUGUUACGAUAAGAGACGUUAACAGAAAAAACAACAUUCUGUCAUUUCCACCAACGAUGUUUCUCUCCACAUAUCAAAUCCUGAAAAUUUAUCUCAUAACUUAGCAAAAUUUUUGUAUGUACAUACUGAAGAUAUAUUAUAAUACCGCCAUUUUUCUUGCUGAAAUUGCUCACCGUAUUUAUUAGUUUUAAAAUAAUGUAUACGCAAAUCAGCCAUUAAAAAUCGCGUUGCUAAGCAACAACAAGGCCUUCUUAACCUCAUAAACGAGAACUUAUUAAAGACAUUGUUAACUAUCAUAGCAACAAUAUAAAAAACGAUUUAUCAUUAUUUUUUAAAAAUCCGGUUUACAAGAAACUUCAGUACUAGAUCAUCUGAGAUUGAAAAACAUAAUUUGAAUUAUCAAGAAAGGUGUAAUGAAGCUGAUGAAGAACUCGCGAAACAUGUUCAAAUAGAAACAAACACACCCAGAUGGAGAACUUGCGAAACAUCGUCAUAUAGAGACAAAUACACCCAGAUGGAGAACUUGCGAAACAUGUUCAAAUAGAGAUAAACACACCCAGAUGAAGAACUUGCGAAACAUCAUCAUAUAGAGACAAAUACACCCAGUUAAAAUUAAAAGGUGAAAAUAUAGUAGCUUCGGA
Long non-coding RNA from Hydractinia symbiolongicarpus, 2309 nucleotides. RefSeq lists it as uncharacterized. The record is from RefSeq and is a predicted model, not a curated record. Lineage: Eukaryota; Metazoa; Cnidaria; Hydrozoa; Anthoathecata; Hydractiniidae. The transcript is spliced from 2 exons.